This 7213-nucleotide long non-coding RNA is filed under the name Lactuca sativa (garden lettuce). RNAcentral describes it as "long non-coding RNA (LSAT_LNC007299)". Lineage: Eukaryota; Viridiplantae; Streptophyta; Magnoliopsida; Asterales; Asteraceae. The record is from RNAcentral.
UGUUGUGAUAUGUUAGUUUGGCAUUUGCUAGAAUGGAUUAUUAUAUGCUAGUAUGGCUGGUUUGAUCGGCAUCCUGGUAGACUGGAUGUGGCUAUGUUUAGUGGCUUGUAGUUGGUCGGAUUGCCUGUAUACUGGUAGGAGAUUACUUGUGAUAUGUGCGCAAGUUUGAGCAAUUGUAGAGGGUAUUCCAUCCCGGUAGGAUGAUAGGGCCCUAGUACUUAGUUUUGUGGACUAUUAUGUGAUUAUCUUGUAAUCACACAUGUUUGUUAGUAUGUGGGCAUUCCAACCCGAUGGUUGUGGGCCAGGAGUAUUCCAUACAGGUAGGAUGAUUGGACUCAUAGUAUGUUGGCAUUCCAACCCGAUGGUUGUGGGCCAGGAGUAUUCCAUCCCGGUAGGAUGAUUGGACUCGUAGUAGGUUGGCAUUGCAACCCGAUGGUAGAGGGCCUGGGGUAUCCCAUUCUGAGGGAUGAUUGGACCCUUAGUAGUGGUUGUAUGUGUAGGUGUCCAGGCAUUCCAACCCGAUGGUUGUGGGCCGAGAGUAUUCCAUUAUGGUAGGAUGAUUGGACUCAUAGUAUGUUGGCAUUUCAACCCGAUGGUUGAGGGCCAGGGGUAUUCCAACCGGAUGGUUGAUUGGACCCAUUGUAUGUUGUUUAUUGUUGUAUGUGUAUGGUUAUGUGUGUAUGGGUAUUUUGGGGGAACUCACUAAGCUUUCGAGCUUACGGUUUCAGUUUAUUGUUUCAGGUACAUUAGGUGAUCGUGGCAAGGCAAAGGCGUGAUCGUACCGCUCCUCAUAUUUCAUGAUUUUGUGAUUUGGUUCUGGGGAUACUCUGAUGUUUAAAACUGUUUUGAAAACAAGUUGUAUUAACUUAUUGGUUUUUGAAUGGAUUAAAAUGUUUUAAAUUGGUUUAGAUUUUAUGGAUGUUCCAAGUUGGUAUCAGAGCCUUGGUUUGAGUGAAUUGGAUGGACAUUCGUGUGACUCCAGUCUCAAAUCAAGGAAGGUUUUUUUAUAUGGUUUUCAAAUGGCUUUCAAAAUAAGUAAAGGAGGAUGCAGAGGGUACGAUCAGCCGGAGCCAGUAAGUUGACCCCAAAUACCAUACAAGUUAUUUUAUUAUGUGAUAUGUUAGAACAAUAUGCUAGUACUAGGCUAGGGAUCUCUAGGAAUUGCAUGAUAGGAUUGCCUGAUUAUGUGAUGCCUGCUAGCCUAGGGUCUCCUUAUGUGAGAUACUCAGUAUUCCUCUAGGGGUGAGGAUUGAACGCUUGCUAUGUGUGUAUAUGUCUAGGGCGUUGUGGUGAUACUUGAGACAAAUAUAAGUAGGUGUGGAAGGUAGUAUGGGCCCGUACUACUGAAAGCACGAGACCUAGCGUAUCAAGGAAGUCACAACCCCUGGGGUGUUGGUUUGCAGUUAGUUACCAGGCUGUUAUGAGGCGUAUCUGAGGAUCUUUUUGGUGUGCUGCAGAAUGGCGAUUACAAGACGCUUCGGAGCAGGAUUCGGUUCCGGAUCCGGAUCAGGAGAGGGUGAUCAGGAUGGAUCUGUACCACCCGAGGUCAUUGGUCGGAUGAGGACGGAUGAGUUGGAUGCUAGGAUUCGUGAUAUUCUGCAUGAUGAGGUUGCUGCUAUGUUCCGNCCAGCCGCAGCGGCUGUAGCAGCGGAAGGAGGAGGAGCCGGUCAGGGCUUUCAGUAUUGGGACUUCGAUAAUACGAAGCCACCUACUUUUGAUGGGGUUCAGGAUCCGAUCGUUCCUAUGACAUCGUUGUCAGACGUGGAGGGAUGUUUCUUCAUGUGUUCAUGCCCUGCUGAUCAGAUGGUGAGGUGUGCUCUGAACCUGUUGAGGCUCAAGGCAAAGGAUUGGUGGAGGUUGACUACGGGAUCAUAUUCUGAUGCGCAGCGAGCUGCGUUACUUGGGAUCAGUUCCGAGACAUGUUCAGUACUCGUUAUGUUCCGUGGGAUGAGCGGGAGAGAUUGGCUCAAGAGUUUCUGAAGUUGAAGCAGGAUUCUGAGUCGGCGACGGAUAUCACCAGGAUGUUUAUGGAGAGGGCGAUGUUUUGCGCCGAGUUCGCUUCAGAUAAGGCUCAGAUGACCCGGUAUCUUAGCAUGCUCAAGACAGAUAUUCGACAGUUCGUGUCUACACAGAGAUGUGAUACCUUGUUGGAGUUGCAGCAGGCCGCCAGGCAGCGCGCGUUAGAGAUCGAGCUCCGGUUGAGAGAGCAAAAGCAGGCCCCGGUGCAGUCGCAGCCUGCGCCGAAACGGUUGAGGGCCGUUGAUUAUCGACAGGGAGGUCAAAGGAGUCGCACUUGCGGGAAGUGCGGCAAGGUGCAUAAAGGAAGUUGUCGUUCUUCUUCUGGGUGCCACAAGUGUGGCAAGGAGGGCCACAUAUCCAGGGAUUGCAGGUAGCAGGUUCCAGCUGUCGGAGUUCAACUUUGUUAUCCUUGUGAUCAGGUGGGCCAUAUGAAGGCCCAAUGUCCUCUACUGGCUGCCAGGCCAGUGCAGGCCCCAUCAUCAGCCACUUUGAGACUUACUGAAGGGGGUCAGGGUCGAGCAGAGCCUCCAAAGGCUCCAGGGCGUGCCUAUCAGCUUGUAACCGAGGAGAUCGGGACAGCGCCAGAGAUGACAGCCGGUAUGUCUUUUCUUUUAUACUUUGAUCAUGUUAUUAUUAUGAGAUUUUUUGUUUCCUACAUGAGUUAUUAGAGUAUAGUAGAUGCUUUUGAGAAGUUAUUAUCAGGAGGUUAUAGAGGGGUAGUAUCCGGUGAUUCCUUCAAGAGAAGGAGAGGUCAUGAUCCAGAGAUUCGGAGUCAUCUGCAAGAACUUGGAUCCCUCGAAGUUCGUUGUCUCGAAUUGGGACGAUUGGGUCGCGUACUGGCGUCACCGCCCGUAGACAUUAGUAAGUGAUCUAAGUGGGGGAGAAUUGGGAAUUCUCGGAUGGUGCGUUGUCUUGAAGGAUGUCGCCUGACGCAGUUUGGAUGUUGGUUCGGGAGUGGUGCAAUGAGGCGGUCCAGUUAUGGUAAGAACCCUGCUUGUAUUGUGGAUCUUUGAGCGAGCAAUGGGAAUACUGCUAUGCUAUAGAAAUCAGUAGGAUUGUUCCCAAGUGUCGAAAAUGAUGAGGGGCAUGCGAAAUACUCUUUAUGGAUUGUAAGUUAUGCAAUCAGUUUCUGGGUAUAUAUGUGUAUUAUGGGUUUGCGACGUGCUCCACAAGUAGAUGAUGUAGAGUGAGAUUCCGACAUUUCGGCACCGACUGAUGAUGCAAAGUCAUGGUUAGGUCUCCUUGGAAGAGGAGAAAGGUGAGUAGCUUCAGAUUGGAGAUUUGGCAGAGGAGUUAGAGAUAGCGGAGUUGCUGGACUCGGGAGCAGUCUAGACCGGUGCUGAGAACUGUGUGAGGACAUUUCAGUCGUAGGUUGUGGACCUAGAGAUCGCAAUAGUAAUGUUCCCUGUCGUGGUACGUUUGGAGUAGACAUGAUGACGGGAUAUGGGUGAGUUGCACUCGGUUGAGUCGAAUCAUAGUAGUUUUGAGGAAGCUGCAAGGUUGGAUCCUUGGGCUUCAAGUAUGAUUGUAGACUUGGUGUAUGUGCGUAGUGGUAUGCAAAUCUAGGGUAUUCCAUCAUGAGGAUUACCGGAACCUAUGAUUGAUUGGACAUAAUGUGUUUGGUAUUCCAACCCGAGGGUUGAUUACAUGUGUAGGGAUACAAGGGUAUUCCAUCAUAGGGAUGAGCGGACCCGUCGUGGGCAUGCCUGGGAUUUCAACCCGAGGCUGAUUGGGCCAGGUGUGAGUGUUCGUUUAUGUGAGGGUAUUGUUAUAUGUGCGUUUGGGUAUGAGUUGAAAGAGAACAAGUGUUGUAGGCAGCAAAAUUUGACCCGUGGUUCUGUUUUCGGGUCGGAAGCUCAGGUUCCCAUGGUUGAGUAGUCCUUUUGAUAGUAAUGGGAAGAGGUCAGGUGAUGGUUAGUUUGGGCGGCCUGUCAAGGAGACGGAUCCAAUCUAACUUUCCAAGUAAAGGGCAUUCUGGGGAGGUAGGUAUUUGAUACUGCAUGAGAAUAAGUAUGUAUCUAUUUGAGUUGGAGUUCCAGUGGGGUUAGCCUCCCUUGGGGGUCGUCACGCUUUAGGGGCAUGAAUGUGCCUUUCGAGAUUUUUAGUAGCCAGAAUUGGCAGUUGGCGAUUUCGAGGGCGAAAUCAGAUUUAAUAGGGGGAGAGUUGUAACGCCCCGUUCUAAAAGUAUUUAUUUAUAGAUUCCCGAGAUAAAGAUUAAAGGCAUUUCGGUCUUUUAUGGGCAAUGGGUUUCAUUUGAGAAGGUUUCGGACCGGGGUGUGUUGCUAGAAGCAUAUGGCUUCUCUCCACCUUUUCGUGGAUAUAAAGUUCUUCGGGAACAAACUUAGAAUAAAGGAGUUAUGACACUUUGAAGAUAUUGACAUUUAUGGCCCUUAAUGGAAAAAGUGGACGAGGAAGGCCAUGCAUGCAAUUUGGGACAUGCAUGGGUACGCCCAACGUAGGCUGGGUACACCCAUCGUAAUAGAGUAAAUGAUCGCUGGUGCAAGGACGCGUACGCCCAUCGUACGCUCAGAGUCAUUAAACCCUAAUUUUUGGGUCGGCCACUAUAUAAGGAACAUAAGGGAUCAACCCCAGCCUCCUUAUUUGUUCCCUUAUCCUCAGAAAAACCCUAGAAAGCCAUUCCAUCUCCAUUGGUGGGUGUGUUUCGCCUUAUGGAGCUUAGUUUGGAAAAGAAAAGCUUAGAAGAAGAAAGAAGAGGUUGGCAAAGAAGCAAUCUUGGUGGCUGGAGUUUGUAGAUCUGAGAUAGCAUCACCUAUUGCAACUGUUUGGAGGUAUAAAGUUCACAACUUUCCUUAUAGAAGCAUAGAUCUAGUCGUAGGGAGCUUUGGGAUCUUUUUAGGUCCAAAGAUUUGACCUUUAUGGUGUAACUUCGUUCCAAAGCUUGGGAUUGCCACCCUUAGAGCUAAAAAUGUCCCAUGAGCAGCAAAGUCUCGAUUUUGAUUGUCCUAUUAAGCCCAUGCAUGAGAUCUAGUUCCCUUUAUGGAUGUAGAUGAUCACUUUGGAAGUGUGAGAUGGUUUGAGCCAUAUAAAGUCACCAAGUCAGUGACUUUAUGGUGUAUGGCGUGAAAUAAGACUUGGAUCUGAGUUGGUAGCUUCUGAAUCGAGGUAUUCUGCUCUUAAUAGAAAAAGGACUUAACAGGGGAAUUGCGUUGAACGUACAUGCAGGUACGCCCAGCGUACUCGUCAUUUUGCCUGUACGCUUAGCGUACAUGGGGGGUACGCCCCGCAUACUCUGUCUGUAUGGAUCAUGAGUUUUUGGGCCGUGGUUUGGGGCAUGUUUAGGUAUUUGGGCCUUAGUGGGUCAUCAGAAAUCAUAUUAUAUGGGCCAAGGAAUAUAUUUUGGGCUUAGGGUGAAGCCCAUUAAAGGAUUGGGCCCAAUGUAGCAAAUUGGGCCAUUAGUGGGUCACUAGUAGGCUUGGGAAGCUAACCUGGUGUUGGGCCUUAGUCAUGGACCAGUUUGGGUUAAGGGUAAAAAUGGUAAAUUUACCCUUAGAAGGAUAUUUUUUUGGGGAUAAGUGUUGUUGUGGCAUUGAUAGUUCGGGGGAGCUAGAGGAGCAGUAGUGUGGGGAUUGUCAGAUAGCACCCAGAAGGGUACCGGUAGUGUUUCAGCAGUUCAAGGUGAGUUAUCCUCACUAUACCAAGGGUCUAAGGCACCAAGGCCGACCCUUUGAAUUGUUAUUUGAGUAAUUGUUGUUGUGAUAUGUUAGUUUGGCAUUUGCUAGAAUGGAUUAUUAUAUGCUAGUAUGGCUGGUUUGAUCGGCAUCCUGGUAGACUGGAUGUGGCUAUGUUUAGUGGCUUGUAGUUGGUCGGAUUGCCUGUAUACUGGUAGGAGAUUACUUGUGAUAUGUGCGCAAGUUUGAGCAAUUGUAGAGGGUAUUCCAUCCCGGUAGGAUGAUAGGGCCCUAGUACUUAGUUAUGUGGACUAUUAUGUGAUUAUCUUGUAAUCACACAUGUUUGUUAGUAUGUGGGCAUUCCAACCCGAUGGUUGUGGGCCAAGAGUAUUCCAUUAUGGUAGGAUGAUUGGACUCAUAGUAUGUUGGCAUUUCAACCCGAUGGUUGAGGGCCAGGGGUAUUCCAACCGGAUGGUUGAUUGGACCCAUUGUAUGUUGUUUAUUGAUGUAUGUGUAUGGUUAUGUGUGUAUGGGUAUUUUGGGGGAACUCACUAAGCUUUCGAGCUUACCGUUUCAGUUUAUUAUUUCAGAUACAUCAGGUGAUCGUGGCAAGGCAAAGGCAUGAUCGUACCGCUCCUCAUAUUUCAUGAUUUUGUGAUUUGGUUCUGGGGAUACUCUGAUGUUUAAAACUGUUUUGAAAACAAGUUGUAUUAACUGAUUGGUUUUUGAAUGGAUUAAAAUGUUUUAAAUUGGUUUAGAUUUUAUGGAUGUUACAAGUUGGUAUCAGAGCCUUGGCUUGAGUGAAUUGGAGGGACAUUCGUGUGACUCCAGUCUCAAAUCAAGGAAGGUUUUUUUUUUUUAAAUGGUUUUCAAAUGGCUUUCAAAAUAAGUAAAGGAGGAUGCAGAGGGUACGAUCAGCCGGUGCCAGUAAGUUGACCCCAAAUACCAUACAAGUUAUUUUAUUAUGUGAUAUGUUAGAACAAUAUGCUAGUACUAGGCUAGGGAUCUCCAGGAAUUGCAUGAUAGGAUUGCUUGAUUAUGUGAUGCGUGCUAGCCUAGGGUCUCCUUAUGUGAGAUACUCAGUAUUCCUCUAGGGGUGAGGAUUGAACGCUUGCUAUGUGUGUGUAUGUCUAGGGCGUUGUGGUGAUACUUGAAACAAAUAUAAGUAGGUAUGGAAGGUAGUAUGGGCCCGUACUACUGAAAGCACGAGACCCAUACGCGUAUCAAGGAAGUCACAACCCCUGGGGUGUUGGUUUGCAGUUAGUUACCAGGCUGUUAUGAGGCGUAUCUGAGGAUCUUUUUGGUGUGCUGCAGAAUGGCGAUUACAAGACGCUUCGGAGCAGGAUUCGGUUCCGGAUCCGGAUCAGGAGAGGGUGAUCAGGAUGGAUCUGUACCACCCGAGGUCAUUGGUCGGAUGAGGACGGAUGAGUUGGAUGCUAGGAUUCGUGAUAUUCUACAUGAUGAGGUUGCUGCUAUGUUCCAGGCUGAGUUGUCAGAGUUGUUUGGGUCGAUCAAGACCGCCAUGGUUGAGUACUUCGAUGAGCGCUAUGCAGAUCUUGCAGAGA